GCUUGAUUAUUUCACAUGGGCUUUGGAAUUUUUCUUCUUUCGCGGCUCAUUGUGUAAUUGCUCCUAGUCAUUUUGUGACACUAUGUACCUCAGUGUUCUGUGGAAAAUGUUUGAGUACUUUGAGGUUUGACUUCAGAAGAGGUCCUUGGUGGAUCCAGAGGUUCCCUCCACCAAGCUGAUCUGCGAGUAGUGAUGGCUUACAUGUUUGCCUUUUACUCCAGUUUAGAUGUCAUUCAUACCGUGGGCCCUAUAGCACGAGGGCAUAUUAGUGAUAGCCAUAAAGAAGACCUGGCAAAUUGCUACAAGGCAUCGCUGAAACUGGCAAAAGAGAACCUCGUCAGAUCUAUUGUAAGUACUCAACAGUAUCUGUUGCUUCUGAGGAAAUGAUUCAUAGCUGCUCUCCAUGGGUACGGAAAUUGUUUGUGUUAGCUGUAAGUGGUACUGGAGAAAAAUGACAUAGGAAAACUGGAUGGGGAAUAUGAAUAUUACCUGACAACCUCAAAACAUGACAACUCUGUAACUUCGAGCAGGAAGCUUUUUCAGUCUAAUUUGUCCUUCUGAACUCUUUGGUUUUGUCUUUGUUCUGUUCAGGCAACACACAAAUUGUCGGAUUUUUAGUAAUCUGAUGCUUUGCAAUAGCACAGCUCAGCUCAUUAUGAACUGCAUCAUUAUAGGCCUUCAGAGUUGGAGAACUUUUAAGUUCUCCAGAGCUUUGGGUCUACAAUAUCCAUAGUCUCUUGCCAUUAGCCAUGGUGUUUGAGGCUGAUGGGAGUUGUAAGCCAAAACUCCCCCAGAGGUCUAGAAAUUCUGCACACCUGACCUAAACACUUAUCUUUGGUUCCGCUGGUGCCAGAGUGAAUAUCUUACAAAUCUGUUUUGAAUCAUCCAUUUUCAUUUUAUCAUGGCUUAUCUCUAUUUUCUAAAUAUUUUAAUGUUGCUUGGUUUUACGUUUUGUUGUUAUGCCACUUUGGGAAGGUUUACCCUAAAAAUACGUUUUCUACAUCUUUUAAACAAAUACAUGAGUUUUUUUAAAAAAUAUGGUUGACAGGUGUGUACUUUGCUUACCUUUCCUGAUUAUCAGGUCCACCAAAUACAGCAAUUAGAGCAUUAACUCUAUAGAUAGAUUUGCUCCCAAAUUUCAAUUUUCCUACUUGAGGAAACUGUCAAAUUACUUUUUAGCAAUGAAGAAAGUGAAAUUCAGCACAAUUGUAAUUUUUUUUUAAAAAAAUUAGCGUUUGUACUUGUCCCUAAACAUGCCUUUUAAAAAUGAAACUAAAAAUAAAAAUAAAGAAGAUAAUUUUCUUGAGUGACUU
Molecule: long non-coding RNA, 1313 nt
Filed under: Pogona vitticeps (central bearded dragon)
Lineage: Eukaryota; Metazoa; Chordata; Lepidosauria; Squamata; Agamidae
Description: lncRNA (ENSPVIG00000002045.1)
Source: RNAcentral